Molecule: ribosomal RNA, 507 nt
Filed under: uncultured bacterium
Lineage: Bacteria
Description: bacterial SSU rRNA
Rfam family: Bacterial small subunit ribosomal RNA
Source: RNAcentral
AAUUUUGGACAAUGGGCGCAAGCCUGAUCCAGCCAUUCCGCGUGCAGGAUGAAGGCCCUCGGGUUGUAAACUGCUUUUGUACGGAACGAAACGGCGCUUUCUAAUACGGAGCGCUAAUGACGGUACCGUAAGAAUAAGCACCGGCUAACUACGUGCCAGCAGCCGCGGUAAUACGUAGGGUGCAAGCGUUAAUCGGAAUUACUGGGCGUAAAGCGUGCGCAGGCGGUGAUGUAAGACAGAUGUGAAAUCCCCGGGCUCAACCUGGGAACUGCAUUUGUGACUGCAUCGCUGGAGUGCGGCAGAGGGGGAUGGAAUUCCGCGUGUAGCAGUGAAAUGCGUAGAUAUGCGGAGGAACACCGAUGGCGAAGGCAAUCCCCUGGGCCUGCACUGACGCUCAUGCACGAAAGCGUGGGGAGCAAACAGGAUUAGAUACCCUGGUAGUCCACGCCCUAAACGAUGUCAACUGGUUGUUGGGUCUUCACUGACUCAGUAACGAAGCUAACGCGU